UCUUCUGGGGGAUUUUUCCCCAUUGGGGGAAACCCUGAGGAGGCACUCCGCCUGAGGGGAGAAACGCUUUUGGGUUUUAARCUUCUUUUCUCAAGGAAUAAGUUAUGAAGGUACCAAGGAAUCAGCAUCGGCUAAAUCCGUGCCAGCAGCCGCGGUAAUACGUGGAUGCAAGCGUUAUCCGGAAUGAUUGGGCGUAAAGCGUCCGCAGGUGGCACUGUAAGUCUGCUGUUAAAGAGUGAGGCUUAACCUCAUAAAAGCAGUGGAAACUACAGAGCUAGAGUGCGUUCGGGGCAGAAGGAAUUCCUGGUGUAGCGGUGAAAUGCGUAGAGAUCAGGAAGAACACCGGUGGUGAAGGUGUUCUGCCAGGGGCGCAAGUACCCCCAUUAUCAACUCCCC
Molecule: ribosomal RNA, 396 nt
Filed under: Nostoc punctiforme VB61270
Lineage: Bacteria; Bacillati; Cyanobacteriota; Cyanophyceae; Nostocales; Nostocaceae
Description: bacterial SSU rRNA
Rfam family: Bacterial small subunit ribosomal RNA
Source: RNAcentral